AUUGAACGCUGGCGGCAUGCCUUACACAUGCAAGUCGAACGGCAGCACGGGAGCAAUCCUGGUGGCGAGUGGCGAACGGGUGAGUAAAGUAUCGGAACGUGCCCAGUCGUGGGGGAUAACGUAGCGAAAGUUACGCUAAUACCGCAUACGAUCUAUGGAUGAAAGCGGGGGAUCGCAAGACCUCGCGCGAUUGGAGCGGCCGAUAUCAGAUUAGGUAGUUGGUGGGGUAAAGGCUCACCAAGCCGACGAUCUGUAGCUGGUCUGGGAGGACGACCAGCCACACUGGGACUGAGACACGGCCCAGACUCCUACGGGAGGCAGCAGUGGGGAAUUUUGGACAAUGGGCGAAAGCCUGAUCCAGCCAUGCCGCGUGCAGGAAGAAGGCCUUCGGGUUGUAAACUGCUUUUGUACGGAACGAAAGGGUUUGGCCUAAUAAGCUGAGCUCAUGACGGUACCGUAAGAAUAAGCACCGGCUAACUAUGUGCCAGCCGCCGCCGUAA
RNAcentral lists this ribosomal RNA (500 nucleotides) under uncultured bacterium. RNAcentral describes it as "partial 16S ribosomal RNA". It matches the Rfam family "Bacterial small subunit ribosomal RNA", at positions 30 to 523 of the family's 1533-position model. The record is from RNAcentral.